Non-coding RNA from Schistosoma haematobium, 45 nucleotides. The record is from Rfam. NCBI's taxonomy places the organism in Eukaryota, Metazoa, Platyhelminthes, Trematoda, Strigeidida, Schistosomatidae.
AUCAAGUUGACGGGUCCCGAAUAGGACGAAACGCGCGUCUUGGAU